GGUGCUAUGAAAUUUGGUCAAAUUUGGGCAGCAGAUUGCACAACCUGCGACAUAACCGGGUUCGCUUGUGUCGUCGCUUGUGUUCGCUGGGCACUCUUUUGGGCAGAUUGUUGCACAACCUGCGACACAACCCCCCUAUCCUUAUGUUCUAACUUGUGUCGCCUGUUUGUUUUGCAGGAUAAGAACUCACUUCACCAGAAUGGGCCAGCAGCUACCCCAAGCCCAAGCCCAAAAGCCCACUAACCCAUUUUGA
RNAcentral lists this unclassified non-coding RNA (253 nucleotides) under Hevea brasiliensis (rubber tree). The record is from RNAcentral. Lineage: Eukaryota; Viridiplantae; Streptophyta; Magnoliopsida; Malpighiales; Euphorbiaceae.